This 775-nucleotide ribosomal RNA is filed under the name uncultured Neocallimastigales. RNAcentral describes it as "partial large subunit ribosomal RNA". It matches the Rfam family "Eukaryotic large subunit ribosomal RNA", at positions 23 to 620 of the family's 3401-position model. Lineage: Eukaryota; Fungi; Neocallimastigomycota; Neocallimastigomycetes; Neocallimastigales. The record is from RNAcentral.
AGAGAGAGACAUGCGCGCAUAUCAAUAAGCGGAGGAAAAGAAACUAACAAGGAUUCCCUUAGUAACGGCGAGUGAAGCGGGAAGAGCUCAAAUUUGAAAUCUUCAAGGUUUUACCUUGACGAAUUGUAGUUUAAAGAAGUGUUUUCUGCUGAAGUUUUGGUAAAAGUUCUUUGGAAUAGGACAUCAUAGAGGGUGAGAAUCCCGUAUUUGACCAUUAUUUUCAGCUUUGUGAUACACUUUCGAAGAGUCGGAUUGUUUGGGAAUGCAGUCCAAAAUGGGUGGUAAAUUUCAUCUAAAGCUAAAUAUUGGCGAGAGACCGAUAGCGAACAAGUACCGUGAGGGAAAGAUGAAAAGAACUUUGAAAAGAGAGUUAAACAGUACGUGAAAUUGUCAAAAGGGAAGCGUUUGACACCAGUGUUGUUUUCUCGAAAAUCAAUUAAAAAUGGCUCGAUUUUGUAUUGCUUGAGACCUUAAAAGCUCACUGUACAUUUUUCGUGUCUUUUUUAAUGCACUUUUCGUUUAACAAGUCAACAUCAGUUUCUUUUGUUGUAAAAGGGUCAUUGGAAGGUGGCUUUCUUUUCGGAGAAAGUGUUUAUAGCCUUUGGCCUCUGCAAUCGGAGAGACUGAGGUCUGCAGCGUAGACUCUUCGGGGUUAGAUACAUUUGUGCUAAGUUAUAGCUUUUCAUAGACAACUUGUUGACUAUAAUUAGUCUUGUAGCUUACUCGUUUAUGCUAUUUUACCUACGCUUAGGAUGUUGAAGAUGUAGCACAUCAU